This 433-nucleotide ribosomal RNA is filed under the name uncultured bacterium. Its description in RNAcentral is "partial 16S ribosomal RNA". It matches the Rfam family "Bacterial small subunit ribosomal RNA", at positions 29 to 507 of the family's 1533-position model. The record is from RNAcentral.
AACGAACGCUGGCGGCAUGCCUAACACAUGCAAGUCGAACGAGACCUUCGGGUCUAGUGGCGCACGGGUGCGUAACGCGUGGGAACCUGCCCUUAGGUUCGGAAUAACUCCCCGAAAUGGGUGCUAAUACCGGAUAAUGUCUUCGGACCAAAGAUUUAUCGCCUUUGGAUGGGCCCGCGUUGGAUUAGCUAGUUGGUAGGGUAAAAGCCUACCAAGGCGACGAUCCAUAGCUGGUCUGAGAGGAUGAUCAGCCACACUGGGACUGAGACACGGCCCAGACUCCUACGGGAGGCAGCAGUGGGGAAUAUUGGACAAUGGGCGAAGGCCUGAUCCAGCAAUCCCGCGUGAGUGAUGAAGGCCUUAGGGUUGUAAAGCUCUUUUACCCGGGAUGAUAAUGACAGUACCGGGAGAAUAAGCUCCGGCUAACUCCGUG